AAAUUUCUACCUUGAGUUUAGAAGGUGAAUGUCAAUUGGAUCGUGUGGUUGUGUUUUCCAUGUAAACUUGAUUAGCUUUUAAGAUUCUGCUCAUUAUGUUACUUUUCUGUCGGCAUCAUGAUAACCAACAAAUUUGUAUUUUUAGUGCUCUUCAAAAUUUCAAAUGCAGGAUCACUUCAAAGUUCAAUCAUGAUAGUUUAUCCAUAGUAUUUCAGCAGGCAAUGUAGAGCAAUCAUAUUUUCUUUAGUAGGUAUUAAUAAGUUAGGAGAGGCUUAGGAUGUGGCAUAGUGAGUUCAAGAGUACUUUAAACCUUCUUUAUAUUCAUUGUUUUUUCAACUAGGAGAAUUUGUACCUCAUACAUUGUUUGUGUUGCAGAGGUUUAAGCUGAUAAUCAACAGCUAUGUUUUGUGACUGUA
Molecule: unclassified non-coding RNA, 416 nt
Filed under: Hevea brasiliensis (rubber tree)
Lineage: Eukaryota; Viridiplantae; Streptophyta; Magnoliopsida; Malpighiales; Euphorbiaceae
Source: RNAcentral